GGCAUUGUCUCCCUCAAUCCGUGCAAUGGCUACUGCUAUAGGUUUCAGGAGUUUCAGGCUGCUUACCACUCUCUCCCAAAAUACAUCAUCCAGGAGGAUCCUCUUGAUGGGUCUUGUCCAUAUCGGCAGGCUGUGAUAUGGCCAUUUCUUGGAGAGACUCCUUCCCCUCCAGGAGACUGUCAGACAUGAUGACAACACCACCCCAACGGGUGUUGCUGGCCAGCUUCAAUGUGGUGCUCUCAUUCUUCUCACUUUGCUUGGUGAGGUAGAUUGCUGCUAUAACUUGAUGACCCUUCACAUACCUAACCAUUUCCAUUGGCUCUCUUGUAGAGUGUAUCCAUUGUUUUCAGUGCCAUGAUGUCCUUAAGGAGCAGAUUCAAUGCAUGAGCAGCACAGCCAAUGGGUGUGAUGUGAGGGUUGGACUCCUCCACUUUAGACCAAGCAGCCUUCAUGUUCGCAGCAUUGUCUGUCACCAGUGCAAAUACCUUCUGUGGUCCGAGGUCAUUGAUGACUGCCUUCAGCUCAUCUGCAAUGUAGAGACCGGUGUGUCUGUUGUCCCUUGUGUCUGUGCUCUUGUAGAAUACUGGUUGAGGGGUGGACAUGAUGUAGUUAAUUAUUCAUUGCCCACAAACAUUUGACCCCCCCCAUCAGAGAUGAUUGCAAUACAGUCUGCUUUCUCCAUGAUUUGCUUGACCUUCAUUGACCAGCAAAUGUUGCUAUCGAUAAGGUGUCUGAUUCAUCAUUGUCACCUCCAAUAGAAGUAGAGGGACUUUUGUCAGAGGUUGCUUGUUGUGAGCGCUGAGGGAACUUUAUGCACUUGGCCAGAUUAUUAUGCAUCUUUGUUGCAUUCUUCACAUAUGAUUUGGCACAGUAUUUGCAAAUGUACACAGCUUUUCCUUCUAGAUUAGCUGCAGUGAAAUGUCUCCACACAUCAGGUAGUGCCCGUGGCAUUUUCCUGUAAAGAUUAGGGGAGAAAAUGAGUAAAAAAAAACACAAAAACAAUUCCAUGUACAGAUAAAUAGUUAAGCAGUUAGAUUAAACAACUCCUUUGUUAAGAUAAAUGUUUUAAAAUGAAACAUGUAUGGAAACAGGUGAAUUAACACUCCUCAGUAAAAACCUCUUAUGGAUCCCUUAAGAGCGAAUCCCGUUAGCGUGAUUGAUUUGACAACAUCCAGUGAAAUUGUAGCGCGCCAAAUUCAAAC
This 1202-nucleotide long non-coding RNA is filed under the name Salmo salar (Atlantic salmon). RNAcentral's name for it is "lncRNA (ENSSSAG00000105227.1)". The record is from RNAcentral. Lineage: Eukaryota; Metazoa; Chordata; Actinopteri; Salmoniformes; Salmonidae.